CACGCAGGUGGCUGAGUCAGUCGAUUGUGAAAGCCCUGGGCUUAACCUGGGAAUUGCAGUCGAUACUACUCGGCUAGAGUAUGGGAGAGGGUAGUGGAAUUCCCGGUGUAGCGGAGAAAUGCGUAGAUAUCGGGAGGAACAUCAGUGGCGAAGGCGGCUACCUGGCCCAAUACUGACACUCAGGUGCGACAGCGUGGGGAGCAAACA
RNAcentral lists this ribosomal RNA (207 nucleotides) under uncultured bacterium. Its description in RNAcentral is "partial 16S ribosomal RNA". It matches the Rfam family "Bacterial small subunit ribosomal RNA", at positions 568 to 774 of the family's 1533-position model. The record is from RNAcentral.